Molecule: long non-coding RNA, 736 nt
Organism: Oryzias melastigma (Indian medaka)
Lineage: Eukaryota; Metazoa; Chordata; Actinopteri; Beloniformes; Adrianichthyidae
Exons: 6
Source: RefSeq, a predicted model, not a curated record
GUCAGAAGUGUCGGUGGAGGACCCAACGUGCAGGAGACCAGGACUCAGACUCCCAGAAUCCUCAGAGUCUUCAGGGACCUCCAGAACCUUAGGAUCCUCAGAGUGAAGAUCCCUUCUGGCAGAUAUAUUCUUGCUGCAUAAACACAGUCUGCUUGAUCUCACUCCAGCCCUCUUUUCAUUUGUUUGUCGAACCUUCUACCUUGGAUCAAGCACCACUUCUAGUCGGCCCUGCAAGAAUCGUGUGGCUCAACAGCAAAAGUAACCAGUCAAGAAAUAAUGUCUCCGAGGGUCUGAUUUAUCGCUGAAAGAUGGUGUACUUACCAAACUCUGAAGAUCCUCCGGUCUACAAACCCCCACGCUUCACGCCAAACGCCCAACAACCCGGCGGUUGGAGCUUCCUGUUCGGCGCUUUAGUGGAGAUGACAGGUCUCUGACGUCCAUAUUCCGGCGGGACACCUUGGAAUUCCUCUUCCUUCCAAGCCACUUCACCCACACCGUCAACCAGCCCAGCAAUUCAACUUUAACCUGAGAAAAAUGUCACUAAUUGUCCUCUGACAAAGCAACACUAAUUGCUUUGAAAUUGUGCUCCAAAGAAAAGCUGCAACCCGGAGUGUUUGUCAUGACUGCGGAGCCUCAAAGAUCACAAAUUCUUGGUGGGUUUGAUGAAUGAAUUCAUUUCCACAGCUCAAGGUAAACGGCCAGGCGUGUUAAUUAAAGGCUCACUAAUGUUCUUGAA